ACUUAAAUUGAAGAGUUUGAUCAUGGCUCAGAUUGAACGCUGGCGGCAGGCCUAACACAUGCAAGUCGAGCGGUAGCACAGAGAGCUUGCUCUCGGGUGACGAGCGGCGGACGGGUGAGUAAUGUCUGGGAAACUGCCUGAUGGAGGGGGAUAACUACUGGAAACGGUAGCUAAUACCGCAUAACGUCGCAAGACCAAAGUGGGGGACCUUCGGGCCUCAUGCCAUCAGAUGUGCCCAGAUGGGAUUAGCUAGUAGGUGGGGUAACGGCUCACCUAGGCGACGAUCCCUAGCUGGUCUGAGAGGAUGACCAGCCACACUGGAACUGAGACACGGUCCAGACUCCUACGGGAGGCAGCAGUGGGGAAUAUUGCACAAUGGGCGCAAGCCUGAUGCAGCCAUGCCGCGUGUGUGAAGAAGGCCUUCGGGUUGUAAAGCACUUUCAGCGGGGAGGAAGGCGGUGAGGUUAAUAACCUCAUCGAUUGACGUUACCCGCAGAAGAAGCACCGGCUAACUCCGUGCCAGCAGCCGCGGUAAUACGGAGGGUGCAAGCGUUAAUCGGAAUUACUGGGCGUAAAGCGCACGCAGGCGGUCUGUCAAGUCGGAUGUGAAAUCCCCGGGCUCAACCUGGGAACUGCAUUCGAAACUGGCAGGCUAGAGUCUUGUAGAGGGGGGUAGAAUUCCAGGUGUAGCGGUGAAAUGCGUAGAGAUCUGGAGGAAUACCGGUGGCGAAGGCGGCCCCCUGGACAAAGACUGACGCUCAGGUGCGAAAGCGUGGGGAGCAAACAGGAUUAGAUACCCUGGUAGUCCACGCUGUAAACGAUGUCGAUUUGGAGGUUGUGCCCUUGAGGCGUGGCUUCCGGAGCUAACGCGUUAAAUCGACCGCCUGGGGAGUACGGCCGCAAGGUUAAAACUCAAAUGAAUUGACGGGGGCCCGCACAAGCGGUGGAGCAUGUGGUUUAAUUCGAUGCAACGCGAAGAACCUUACCUGGUCUUGACAUCCACAGAACUU
This 1010-nucleotide ribosomal RNA is filed under the name Klebsiella sp. HMSC25G12. RNAcentral's name for it is "bacterial SSU rRNA". It matches the Rfam family "Bacterial small subunit ribosomal RNA", at positions 1 to 998 of the family's 1533-position model. Lineage: Bacteria; Pseudomonadati; Pseudomonadota; Gammaproteobacteria; Enterobacterales; Enterobacteriaceae. The record is from RNAcentral.